GAUGAACGCUGGCGGCGUGCCUAAUACAUGCAAGUCGAGCGAACAGACGAGGAGCUUGCUCCUCUGACGUUAGCGGCGGACGGGUGAGUAACACGUGGAUAACCUACCUAUAAGACUGGGAUAACUUCGGGAAACCGGAUCUAAUACCGGAUAAUAUAUUGAACCGCAUGGUUCAAUAGUGAAAGACGGUUUUGCUGUCACUUAUAGAUGGAUCCGCGCCGCAUUAGCUAGUUGGUAAGGUAACGGCUUACCAAGGCGACGAUGCGUAGCCGACCUGAGAGGGUGAUCGGCCACACUGGAACUGAGACACGGUCCAGACUCCUACGGGAGGCAGCAGUAGGGAAUCUUCUGCAAAGGGCGAAAGCCUGACGGAGCAACGCCGCGUGAGUGAUGAAGGUCUUCGGAUCGUAAAACUCUGUUAUUAGGGAAGAACAAAUGUGUAAGUAACUAUGCACGUCUUGACGGUACCUAAUCAGAAAGCCACGGCUAACUACGUG
Molecule: ribosomal RNA, 497 nt
Filed under: uncultured bacterium
Lineage: Bacteria
Description: partial 16S ribosomal RNA
Rfam family: Bacterial small subunit ribosomal RNA
Source: RNAcentral